RNAcentral lists this ribosomal RNA (264 nucleotides) under uncultured archaeon. RNAcentral's name for it is "partial 16S ribosomal RNA". It matches the Rfam family "Archaeal small subunit ribosomal RNA", at positions 719 to 982 of the family's 1478-position model. The record is from RNAcentral.
ACACGACUACAUUAGAUACCCGUGUAGUCCCAGCCGUAAACUAUGCUCGCUAGGUGUCAGGCAUGGCGCGACCGUGUCUGGUGCCGCAGGGAAGCCGUGAAGCGAGCCACCUGGGAAGUACGGCCGCAAGGCUGAAACUUAAAGGAAUUGGCGGGGAGCACAACAACGGGUGGAGCCUGCGGUUUAAUUGGACUCAACGCCGGGAAGCUCACCGGAUAAGACAGCGGAAUGAUUGCCGGGCUGAAGACUCUGCAUGACUAGCUG